RNAcentral lists this ribosomal RNA (570 nucleotides) under uncultured bacterium. RNAcentral's name for it is "bacterial SSU rRNA". It matches the Rfam family "Bacterial small subunit ribosomal RNA", at positions 28 to 575 of the family's 1533-position model. The record is from RNAcentral.
GACGAACGCUGGCGGCGUGCCUAAUACAUGCAAGUCGAGCGGAGUUACUUUGAAAGCUUGCUUUCAAAGUAACUUAGCGGCGGACGGGUGAGUAACACGUAGGCAACCUGCCCCUUAGACUGGGAUAACUACCGGAAACGGUAGCUAAUACCGGAUAAUUUCUUUUUUCUUCUGAAGGAAGAAUGAAAGACGGAGCAAUCUGUCACUGAGGGAUGGGCCUGCGGCGCAUUAGCUAGUUGGUGGGGUAACGGCCUACCAAGGCGACGAUGCGUAGCCGACCUGAGAGGGUGAACGGCCACACUGGGACUGAGACACGGCCCAGACUCCUACGGGAGGCAGCAGUAGGGAAUCUUCCGCAAUGGACGAAAGUCUGACGGAGCAACGCCGCGUGAGUGAUGAAGGUUUUCGGAUCGUAAAGCUCUGUUGCCAGGGAAGAACGUCCGGUAGAGUAACUACUACCGGAGUGACGGUACCUGAGAAGAAAGCCCCGGCUAACUACGCGCCAGCAGCCGCGGUAAUACGUAGGGGGCAAGCGUUGUCCGGAAUUAUUGGGCGUAAAGCGCGCGCAGG